AAGGAGACAGGAUGGAGGUGUUCCCCUCCCAAGGAGACAGGAUGGAGGUGCUCCCCUCCCAAGGAGACACGAUGGAGGCGCUCCCCUCCCAGUGAGACAGGAUGGAGGCACUCUCCCACACAGGUGAAGAAACGCGUUUCUCAGGCACACAGCUCCUAUGGCCCCCAAACAUACUGCCUUACCGCACUGUGCUGGACAGAAGGCCCCACUGGAGCCUCCGCAGCCCUCCUGCCACAGGCAGCCCCUCAACCGUACAGGAUCCUGCCCAGGAGAGCUGGCCAUGGACAGGCACAGAAGUGUACCCGUGGGGUCCCCCACUGAGCACAUGGCGGCUCCAGAGCAGUUGCUGGACAGGAUCCAGUCCUGUGCUGUCCCUCCACACUUCUGCUGUAGGCACAAAGAAGCUCCAGAGGCACAGUGGAAGAAAGCAGGGAGUACCUCACAGAACUCACCCCCUGCCAGAAAGGCUGAGGGGCAGCCAGCUGAUGCCCAGAGAACGCCAUGCCAUACACAGCAGGACCACAGGAUGCUCCUG
Molecule: long non-coding RNA, 535 nt
Organism: Perognathus longimembris pacificus (Pacific pocket mouse)
Lineage: Eukaryota; Metazoa; Chordata; Mammalia; Rodentia; Heteromyidae
Exons: 3
Source: RefSeq, a predicted model, not a curated record